This 1020-nucleotide long non-coding RNA is filed under the name Homo sapiens (human). RNAcentral describes it as "HSALNT0062913". The record is from RNAcentral. Lineage: Eukaryota; Metazoa; Chordata; Mammalia; Primates; Hominidae.
UGGAUUCACAACCACUGGCAUAGGAGCCCUCCAUGUGGCAGGUGUUACUUGGAGACCCUCUGACUGCUCAAGCGAACCUCCCCAUGGCAUGGAAUCUUGUGGGAGCUCUGCCACCAGGAAACUCCAAAUGUUCUUCAGCUACUGUUCCAAAGCUUUUGCCCUUGAGGAACACAGUGAGGCAGAACCAACACAAUGAGGACUUACUGCUCACCUGAAUAUAUUCUGGGAGGACUGGAAGGACCUACCAGGUCAGAAAGCCUUGAGGAAACAUGGAGUUUCUGAAUCCUCUACCAUGUUCGCAAGUGAAGGAGAAACAUUUUCAUUCAGAUACCGAUUGAACAACACCUACCUAUGUACCUCCUAGUUCAUCUCUCUGCCUUUAGCCUUGGCCCCAGUGAUCCAGGCUCUACACUGCUAGUGCAAGAAUCUCAUGAAGACAGCAAAUCUGAUGAUGCCCAGACUCUGAGGAAAAUCUUUCAGUGCCAUCUGCAUGAGUUUACUAUUGCUGCUUUAACAAAUUACCACAAAUUUGGUGGCAUAAAACAAUUCAAAUUUUUUAUCUUACACUUCUAUAGGUUAAAAGUUUGACAUGGAUCUUACUGGGCUAGAAUCAAAAUGUUAGCAGGGCUGCGUUCCUUUUAUGGAGUCUCUAGAGAAGAAUCCAUCUCCUAGCGCCUUGCCCAGCUUCUACAUGAUGUCUGUAUUCUUUGAGUCAUAGCCUCUUCCUUCCCUUUAGCAAAAGCAGGUUGAGUUCUCACUCUGCCUCAUUCUGACUUCUACAUAGAAGGUUUUUUCUUUACUCGUUUUGUUCAUAGCUAUAUCCCCAGCACCUAGUAGAAAGUUUUUACUACAUGUUUGUUGAAUAAAUGAAAAAAAAUCAAAAACUUAAAAACAAUGUACUAAGUGUACUUAAUAAAUGCAGUUGUUCCACAUUCCCAUCAGACCUGCAGUGUGAAGACAAAAUUAGUACAUCCCUUGGCUGGUUCACACAUUUUUCAAGCCUCGGUAAAUGAAGAAGAA